AAUGGGAUGCGAAUCUCGAAAGCCUGUCUCAGUUCGGAUUGGAGGCUGAAACCCGCCUCCAUGAAGUUGGAUUCGCUAGUAAUCGCGCAUCAGCCAUGGCGCGGUGAAUACGUUCCCGGGCCUUGUACACACCGCCCGUCAAGCCAUGGGAGCCGGGGGUGCCUGAAGUUCGUGACCGCAAGGAGCGACCUAGGGCAAAACUGGUGACUGGGGCUAAGUCGUAACAAGGUACC
Molecule: ribosomal RNA, 233 nt
Filed under: uncultured bacterium
Lineage: Bacteria
Description: partial 16S ribosomal RNA
Rfam family: Bacterial small subunit ribosomal RNA
Source: RNAcentral